RNAcentral lists this ribosomal RNA (253 nucleotides) under uncultured bacterium. Its description in RNAcentral is "partial 16S ribosomal RNA". It matches the Rfam family "Bacterial small subunit ribosomal RNA", at positions 524 to 776 of the family's 1533-position model. The record is from RNAcentral.
UACGUAGGUGACCAGCGUUGUCCGGAUUUACUGGGCGUAAAGAGCGCGCAGGCGGUCGUUCAAGUCGAGUGUGAAAGCCCCCGGCUCAACUGGGGAGGGUCAUUCGAUACUGAUCGACUCGAAGGCAGGAGAGGGAAGCGGAAUUCCCGGUGUAGUGGUGAAAUGCGUAGAUAUCGGGAGGAACACCAGUGGCGAAGGCGACUUCCUGGCCUGUUCUUGACGCUGAGGCGCGAAAGCUAGGGUAGCAAACGGG